CGAAAGCCUGACGGAGCAAUACCGCGUGAGGGAGGAAGGCUUUUGGGUUGUAAACCUCAAAAAUUAGGGAAGAAAAAAAUGACGGUACCUAAAAUAAGCAUCGGCUAACUCCGUGCCAGCAGCCGCGGUAAUACGGAGGAUGCAAGCGUUAUCCGGAAUCAUUGGGCGUAAAGAGUCCGUAGGUGGCUAAUCAAGUCCGAAGUUAAAGACAGAAGCUAAACUUCUGGAAAGCAGCGGAAACUGAAGAGCUAGAGUGUAGGAGAGGUAGAGGGAACUCCCAGUGUAGCGGUGAAAUGCGUAGAGAUUGGGAAGAACACCAGUGGCGAAGGCGCUCUACUGGACCGUAACUGACACUGAGGGACGAAAGCCAAGGUAGCG
RNAcentral lists this ribosomal RNA (378 nucleotides) under uncultured cyanobacterium. RNAcentral's name for it is "bacterial SSU rRNA". It matches the Rfam family "Bacterial small subunit ribosomal RNA", at positions 376 to 770 of the family's 1533-position model. Lineage: Bacteria; Bacillati; Cyanobacteriota. The record is from RNAcentral.